CCAGGCCUGACUCGCCCCUCCAGGUUGUGGGAGAGAAGGGAACCUCAGCCAGUGGGUUUUUACCUAUUUUCCUUCCCUUACAAGUGCGUUGUGUGGGUUCUGGCAUCAGUCUGGGGGUGGUGUUUGCGCCUGAAUGCUGGUGUGCGUGGGCAGUGUGUUGUUUGUGUGCUGGGGUAGGAGGAUGCCAGCCUCCUGUGUGAAUCGCUGUUCAGGGGCCUGAAUGUAGGAGGCGUUUGUGGGCAUGUACCUGUGAGUGUUUGCCUCGAUAGGGGUGUGUGGGUGUGUGUGUGUGUGUGUGUGUGCGCGUGCGCGCACACGAGCUCGCACACGUGUGACAAGCAGGCCUCCCUCUGGGCCUGGCUGCUGUCCCCUAAACCGGUAAACAAAUCUCUAACAACAAUCAUAAUAACAAUAAAUAAUAAAUAACAAUAAAAACAGUAGUUAACAGUCCCUCCCUAGCAGAAUAACAAUAAAAUGCAAGAGGGGCUAUUUUGAGAAGGGCACAGGGGAAGGAGUCAUGAUCACAGCAACUGAGGAAAGACAGGAAAGGAAGUUAGCUUCUUCCUCUGCCCUUGAGGGGCUGGGUUUGGGAACCCCCUCUCCGAUGAGGUCCUCCGGCCAGAGGAGGAGAGGGAGAGCCGGGAGGCCGCUCUGUCCUGCUUGUCUUUCUCAGCUUUUGCUUUGUGCGAUCAGGGGAGGAACCCCACGCAGGGGAACGGUUAGUGGCUUUGGGGUCUCUUUGGUGGCCCUGUUUGAAGGAGGAGGCAGGCCAAGGGUGCAGGGUCAGGCCCAGGGGCAGAAAGGGAUGAGGCGAUGACCACAGUCGGGGAUCCAGGCCCGGCAAGCGGCAGAGGUGCCGGAGAGGACCAGCCGCCGGGCAGAGAUCGAAGCAGAAAAACAUUUAUGGCCGCGCGCCCGAAAGCGGGGAGCAAGGCCGGGGCUCUGGUAGCCCUGGGAAGGUUGCCUUCCUGAGGUCUUUAAAAAAGAGGAGAGAGAGCGAGAGAGAGAGAGAGAGAGAAGGGAGGGGUUGGGGCGCCUUGAAUUUUCCUUCCCGGGCUUGGAGCGCAGCGCAUUUCUGUAAAGGAAGAGAAGAGCACCGUCCUGGAUCUUUCCACGUCCGCCUCAUUCUAUCCAGGCCUCUCCCCUUGCCCGAGCUCUCAGCCGCCACCAGGAGACUGACACGGAAGGGGCUUCUGGGCCGCCCCCCACCAACUCCUGCCUGGUUUCCCAAACUUCAGCGACCUCCAGCCCUCUUUGGGUGGAAAAUAGCAGGGCCCAGGCACCUCUUCUUCUUGUCAUUUGUGACCCGUGCUCUCAUCAGGAAUAUCUUACAAAGAAGGAGAGGAAGAAAGGUUGGCUAGAGCCCUGUUUAUAUCUAGUUCUGCAGAUCCCUUCACAUCUGGAGAGUUUAUUUAUAACUCCCACUAUAACUCUCUCUGUUUGGAGGCACUGGUGGCUCUAUUGACAGACUGAUGUCUAGAAAAUAUUGCUCUAUCUCUAACCAUAUCUAAAUGUGCUGCGGUUGUAUGUACAGAUUUAUGCUCGAGGGAAAUAUAAUUAUUUCCAUUGUAUUUGUGCAUAUACAAUAGUUAUAGGAGCAGAUUUAUAUAUGGGAAAAUAUAUGACUCUCUUAUAGCCAUCCA
Sus scrofa (pig) is the source of this 1643-nucleotide long non-coding RNA. RefSeq lists it as uncharacterized. The record is from RefSeq and is a predicted model, not a curated record. Lineage: Eukaryota; Metazoa; Chordata; Mammalia; Artiodactyla; Suidae.